GAUCCGAUGGCAGUGGGUUAUCAGAACUUUUAACAUUAGUGUCACUAAAGUUGGUAUACCACCCCCCCACCACUGUUUUUUUAA
This 84-nucleotide small RNA is filed under the name Cavia porcellus (domestic guinea pig). Its description in RNAcentral is "Y RNA (ENSCPOG00000028169.2)". Lineage: Eukaryota; Metazoa; Chordata; Mammalia; Rodentia; Caviidae. The record is from RNAcentral.